Peromyscus maniculatus bairdii (prairie deer mouse) is the source of this 181-nucleotide non-coding RNA. The record is from RefSeq and is a predicted model, not a curated record. NCBI's taxonomy places the organism in Eukaryota, Metazoa, Chordata, Mammalia, Rodentia, Cricetidae.
ACCUGAGACUGGGACACCUGGCGCUCUCUUGUUUCCUGGACCUGGAAGCUAGAGGUAGACCACGGGGAGUUCUCCAGAGAACACCACCAGACUGCGCUGCAUCUUUUCCAGAACCCUCCACCUACUUAUCCCUUCAUUUGUAAGUUACCCACUAAAUAAAUCUUCCUUUUAACUACGUGGA